This is a long non-coding RNA of Helianthus annuus (common sunflower), 355 nucleotides long. RefSeq lists it as uncharacterized. Lineage: Eukaryota; Viridiplantae; Streptophyta; Magnoliopsida; Asterales; Asteraceae. The record is from RefSeq and is a predicted model, not a curated record. The transcript has 3 exons.
CAAAGAUCUGGAUUUGGAUCUGUGGAUCCAAAAGGAAAAACAAUCAGAGAUCUUCAACAGCUUAGAACUCCUCUACGAUCCCUCCACACACUCCCUCGAUCGCACAUUCCUUGAGAAGAAACAAGAACUUUGUGAGUUUCGAACUCCUCUAUUCACAGGGUUUUCACAUCACACACGGAGGAACCCUAAUUUCUUGAGUGUUUGUGGUGAUUGCAUCAAGAGCAGGGAAUUUUGAGAAGCCCAUGUUUCUUUUCACAUCCCAUCACACACGGAUUUGCUAGGACCGUACUCAAUCAGCUAGGGUUUUCAUCUUUUACAAACAAGGGGAAGCUGCGGCCGUCAAUAUGGUUCUCAA